GGGCUUGUAGCUCAGUUGGAGUAGAGCACGUGGUUACGAACCACGGUGUCGGGGGUUCGAGUCCCUCCAAGCUCA
RNAcentral lists this transfer RNA (75 nucleotides) under Scytosiphon lomentaria. RNAcentral's name for it is "tRNA-Arg". It matches the Rfam family "tRNA". Rfam says of the family: Transfer RNA (tRNA) molecules are approximately 80 nucleotides in length. Their secondary structure includes four short double-helical elements and three loops (D, anti-codon, and T loops). Further hydrogen bonds mediate the characteristic L-shaped molecular structure. tRNAs have two regions of fundamental functional importance: the anti-codon, which is responsible for specific mRNA codon recognition, and the 3' end, to which the tRNAs corresponding amino acid is attached (by aminoacyl-tRNA synthetases). tRNAs cope with the degeneracy of the genetic code in two manners: having more than one tRNA (with a specific anti-codon) for a particular amino acid; and 'wobble' base-pairing, i.e. permitting non-standard base-pairing at the 3rd anti-codon position. Lineage: Eukaryota; Phaeophyceae; Ectocarpales; Scytosiphonaceae. The record is from RNAcentral. RNAcentral also lists the same sequence under 1 other name.